Molecule: ribosomal RNA, 433 nt
Filed under: uncultured bacterium
Lineage: Bacteria
Description: bacterial SSU rRNA
Rfam family: Bacterial small subunit ribosomal RNA
Source: RNAcentral
AACGAACGCUGGCGGCAGGCCUAACACAUGCAAGUCGAGCGCUCGUAGCAAUACGGGAGUGGCAGACGGGUGAGUAACACGUGGGAACCUUCCCUAUGGUUCGGAAUAGCUCAGGGAAACUUGGGGUAAUGCCGGAUAAGCCCUUCGGGGAAAGGAUUAUCGCCAUUGGAUGGGCCCGCGUCGGAUUAGCUAGUUGGUGAGGUAACGGCUCACCAAGGCAACGAUCCGUAGCUGGUCUGAGAGGAUGAUCAGCCACACUGGGACUGAGACACGGCCCAGACUCCUACGGGAGGCAGCAGUGGGGAAUAUUGGACAAUGGGCGCAAGCCUGAUCCAGCCAUGCCGCGUGAGUGACGAAGGUCUUCGGAUUGUAAAACCCUUUUGGCGGGGACGAUAAUGACGGUACCCGCAGAAUCAGCCCCGGCUAACUUCGU